AGCCCCGUGGUGGAGUACCACGUUGGAUUGCAAAUCCAGAGACGCAGACUGAGGCCCUGCCGGGGCUU
This 68-nucleotide transfer RNA is filed under the name Pimephales tenellus (slim minnow). RNAcentral's name for it is "tRNA-Cys". It matches the Rfam family "tRNA". From Rfam's summary of the family: Transfer RNA (tRNA) molecules are approximately 80 nucleotides in length. Lineage: Eukaryota; Metazoa; Chordata; Actinopteri; Cypriniformes; Leuciscidae. The record is from RNAcentral.